Molecule: RNA transcript, 2613 nt
Organism: Theobroma umbraticum
Lineage: Eukaryota; Viridiplantae; Streptophyta; Magnoliopsida; Malvales; Malvaceae
Source: RefSeq, a predicted model, not a curated record
AACGAAAAUUCUUAAAACCGAAAAAGGAAACAGAAAUACAGGAUCCCUUUCUCUCAAUUCUCACACCUAUGCUUCACUUCACACAAAUCUGAACCCAAACCCAAAAGAAAAAAAGAAAAAAACCGCCAUGACCGAUCAUCACCACCGGUUCGGCCAGCUACGGUCCACAUCCCAGAUCCUAAAAAAAACCGCCGUGCAAUUCGCCGCCCACCCUUUCGCAUUCCUCUUCCUUUCUUUCCUCCUCCUCUCUUUCCGUUCCUUUGUUGAAUCCGGUUCGCUGCUCCUCACCUCCUUCAUCGACCGCGAUCCUUCUUUCAAAUCCCUCCUUUCCCGCCUCGACCUCCACCCUUCUCACCCACACGCGCGUCUCCACCCCACUCGUCGCCCCACGCGCCGCCCUUUCCUCCACCUCACACGCGUCGGCACUCUCGACGAUGACUUCUUUUCUUCCGACGACGAUCACCGCGACCGCUCCCCCUUCGGUUCUUUCCCUAAACGCCCCCUCAAUGGCACGCCCGUAAUUCUUUCCAACUUCGACACUAAAUUGGGGUUUUCGGAUUUCGUUGCCGAUAAUGGAAUUCUGCUACCAGAAAUUGUUCGUUAUGGAGUCAAAUUUAAAGCAGCCUCGUUUGACUACGAAAAUAACGAAGGGGAACAACAAGAAGAAAGAAUUGUGGAUUUUCAGUUCGUUUAUAAAGGAUUGGAGUUGGGCCGACGUGACGCGGCGGCGCUGUUCUUUCUCGUCAGCUUUUUAUCGGCAGCUUAUGGAUGGGUAAUUCUAGGGUUUACAGCGAUUUACUCUUUGGUCUUGGGUGUUCUUUUUGUUACAGUUGUUAAUGACUUGAUUGGAAGAUUUGUUUCCUUUUUUGGGGCUUUUUGGGAUGGGUCGAAAAUGGGUUUGAAAAGACUCACUGGGUUCGUUUUAAUGAAAUGGGCGGUGAGAGACGCGGUGACUCAGCUUCUUGGAUUAUGGUAUUUCGGAGAAAUUGAGGAUCAUUACUCGUUUUUCAAGCUUUUUGUUAGGUUAAAGUUGAUGCCUUUUUCAGUUAUGUCACCGUGGAUUAGGGGUUUCGAGAAGGAGAUUUCAGGGUUUUUAUUUACGUGGUUUUUGGUGGAUACUUUAGUUUCAUUUGCAUUUUCAUUAGCUGCUUGGAUUGCUAUUGUGGAUUCGAGGAGAACCGGGAGGGAAAUUAUUAAAGAAGGUUGUUAUUUGAUGUCAACAAUGUUGAACCAAGCGAUACAGAUUAAGUGUUACGAAGCUAUCUUAGGUGGGUCUCUUGCGAGAUGGAUUUUGACUUAUAUAGGUGGGGAAUUUUUCGCCACCGUUAUUCAGGCAGCUUUGGAGGUGUACUUCAUGUUAGCUUGGUUGAUAUUUUACUUUGUCGCUAGGUGUAGGGAAGCUACUGCAGAGGGUAGGAGGUAUGGGAGGAGAGAAUUGGAGGCUUUGAUUGAUGGACUUAGAUGAUACUCAAGUGGGAAAAAAAUGGGUGAAAGUUACUUUUGCUGCUAGAAUUUUCGAUUGUGACGCUGAAGAUAGCUGAAGAUGGUGGCAAUCUUUCAAUGCUUAGAGUCUUCCUGUUUUUGCAGUGCUAGCGAUGCAAUACUGCCAUUGUUUGUUAGUUAAUUUGAUGAGCUUUAGGAACGAGACAAUCUUAGACAACUGCAUCAGACUGACAAGGUUAUUUAUGAGAGACAUGAUGAAUGCAAAGUUGGUUGGUGAAGAGAAGUAAAUAAGAGUUUACUUAUGAAAGAUUAUUGGAAUGUGACAUGCAAUUUUAGCAAAUAUUGGAUGAUGUUUCUAUGUCAUGGUUUCAGAAGGAGAGAAAACCUGAGUUGGAAAUGAUGUGUUUUGACAUGGGCCGAGAUGAGAAGUCAGAUAAAAGAAUGCAACACUGCCUAGAUUAUGGCGGGUUCUGCUUGUUUUUAGCCUUUUUGUAUUUAUGAUUAUUUAAGGUUAUAAAAAGUUGCUUGUAGUUGUGAAAUUGCAGAGGGUUGUGGAAGUUUAUUCAAGCUGGCUUGGUGAAUCAAGAUUUAAGGGGAUCUUUAGAAAACUGAAUGUUGAAGACCCUCUUUUAUCUUUACAAAUUUUAAAUCACUAAAAUGAUGUAAGAUAGAUUUAAAUUGUGAACAUUAUCCUCUAAAUGGGUCUCGUUAUUCCAAUAUUUUUGGCUGUUGAAUAGCAGCAGGUAUGAAGCGGCACUUUGACCAUUAUUGUUGCGCUGCUCCAGUGGUAUUGGAUUGGAUUUUAAGACAAGCUUUUGGGCUUUGGCCUUCAAAAUACAUUUACCUCUAUGCUGGUGGCAAUCUGAUGGCUGUCAAUAUUGUUUCUCAUAUGGCUGAGGAUCUUAUCAUAAGCCUUAUCUGUGCAUGUGCUCCUACUAAGUGUUGUGACAGAGUGUUUGUAGGAUGUUUUUAUGAUUUUCAGACUAUUUGAUAGUUUUUCAAAUUUAAAUGCAUUUUAGUUGAGAGAGUUUUAUCAUUCUGAUGACUCCACUAUUAUGCUGUGAGUGCUUUGGACAAGUCUACUUUGGUCCUUUGCAUGCACACUUGAGCGAGUUUGGAUUAAUGAUGUGUAGAUUUGUUGUUAUACGAAGACUGAGUUUGUUUCUGUAU